UAGAAGUGUUUUGCCAAGUCACAAUAUCUUC
RNAcentral lists this non-coding RNA (31 nucleotides) under Rattus norvegicus (Norway rat). The record is from RNAcentral. Lineage: Eukaryota; Metazoa; Chordata; Mammalia; Rodentia; Muridae.